CGGAGCCGGGAUUGGAACCUUGGGAGUCGGAGGGACCUGGGUUCCGAUCCCGGCUCGGCC
This 60-nucleotide microRNA precursor is filed under the name Ornithorhynchus anatinus (platypus). RNAcentral describes it as "Oan-Novel-5_pre stem-loop". The record is from RNAcentral. Lineage: Eukaryota; Metazoa; Chordata; Mammalia; Monotremata; Ornithorhynchidae.